RNAcentral lists this ribosomal RNA (253 nucleotides) under uncultured bacterium. RNAcentral's name for it is "partial 16S ribosomal RNA". It matches the Rfam family "Bacterial small subunit ribosomal RNA", at positions 524 to 776 of the family's 1533-position model. The record is from RNAcentral.
GACGGAGGAUGCAAGUGUUAUCCGGAAUCACUGGGCGUAAAGGGUGCGUAGGCGGGUCUUUAAGUCAGGGGUGAAAUCCUGGAGCUCAACUCCAGAACUGCCUUUGAUACUGAAGAUCUUGAGUUCGGGAGAGGUGAGUGGAACUGCGAGUGUAGAGGUGAAAUUCGUAGAUAUUCGCAAGAGCACCAGUGGCGAAGGCGGCUCACUGGCCCGAUACUGACGCUGAGGCACGAAAGCGUGGGGAGCAAACAGG